This 1436-nucleotide unclassified non-coding RNA is filed under the name uncultured Microascales. RNAcentral describes it as "sequence contains 18S rRNA gene, ITS1, 5.8S rRNA gene, ITS2, 28S rRNA gene". The stretch from base 514 to 1436 matches the Rfam family "Eukaryotic large subunit ribosomal RNA", at positions 1 to 961 of the family's 3401-position model. Lineage: Eukaryota; Fungi; Ascomycota; Sordariomycetes; Microascales. The record is from RNAcentral.
GGAGGGAUCAUUAGUGAGACUUAGCGCUCCAACCCUUGCAAACCUACCAUUGCGGCGUUGUUUCGGCGGGUGUGCCAGCGGAUUCGUCCGCCGGCAUGCCGCCCGGCCAGCGGAGCCCGCCGGCAGCGCCAAACUCUUCAGUUUUUUAGUGGAAGUCUUCUGAGUGGCAAAAAAAACAAGCAAAACUUUCAACAACGGAUCUCUUGGUUCUGGCAUCGAUGAAGAACGCAGCGAAAUGCGAUAAGUAAUGUGAAUUGCAGAAUUCAGUGAAUCAUCGAAUCUUUGAACGCACAUUGCGCCCGGUGGUAUUCUGCCGGGCAUGCCUGUUCGAGCGUCAUUUCUUCCCUCAGGCCCUGCCGCUCAGCGGUAGAAGGGUUCUGGUUUUGGGGCAUGCAGCGCCCGCUGCAGCUCCCAAUUGCAUCGGCGUACACUGUAUGCUGCCCCCUGCGUAGUGGUUACUUCUCGCAUCGGGCCGUGCCGUAGUGCUGCCGCAACACCUAUUCUUUCUAAGUUUGACCUCGGAUCAGGUAGGGAUACCCGCUGAACUUAAGCAUAUCAAUAAGCGGAGGAAAAGAAACCAACAGGGAUUGCCCUAGUAACGGCGAGUGAAGCGGCAACAGCUCAAAUUUGAAAUCUGGCGCUUGCGCCCGAGUUGUAAUUUGCAGAGGAUGCUUCUUGCGCGGUGCCUUCCGAGUUCCCUGGAACGGGACGCCAUAGAGGGUGAGAGCCCCGUACGGUCGGUAACCAAGCUAUUGUGUAGCACCUUCGACGAGUCGAGUAGUUUGGGAAUGCUGCUCAAAAUGGGAGGUAAAUUCCUUCUAAAGCUAAAUAUUGGCCAGAGACCGAUAGCGCACAAGUAGAGUGAUCGAAAGAUGAAAAGCACUUUGAAAAGAGGGUUAAACAGCACGUGAAAUUGUUGAAAGGGAAGCGCUUGUGACCAGACUUGGGCCUGGUAGUUCAGCCGUCCUUCUGGGCGGUGCACUCUGCCGGUUCAGGCCAGCAUCAGUUGCUAGUCGGGGAGAAAGACAGUGGGAACGUGGCUCUUCGGAGUGUUAUAGCCCGCUGUUAUGCCCUUCCGGCGACUGAGGAUAGCGUUCUGCACGGAUGCUGGCGUAAUGGUCAUCAGCGACCCGUCUUGAAACACGGACCAAGGAGUCUAACAUGCCUGCGAGUGUUUGGGUGUCAAACCCCUACGCGAAAUGAAAGUGAACGGAGGUGAGAGCUUCGGCGCAUCAUCGACCGAUCCUGAUGUCUUCGGAUGGAUUUGAGUAAGAGCAUAUUGGGCUGGACCCGAAAGAAGGUGAACUAUGCUUGGAUAGGGCAAAGCCAGAGGAAACUCUGGUGGAGGCUCGCAGCGGUUCUGACGUGCAAAUCGAUCGUCAAAUCUGAGCAUGGGGGCGAAAGACUAAUCGAACCUUCUAGUAGCUGGUUUCCGC